GCCUGGAUGGCUAAGUCAGUAGAGCAUUAGACAUUUAAUCUGAUGGUCCAGGGUUCAUGUCCCCAUUCAGGUA
RNAcentral lists this transfer RNA (73 nucleotides) under Bos taurus (domestic cattle). It matches the Rfam family "tRNA". From Rfam's summary of the family: Transfer RNA (tRNA) molecules are approximately 80 nucleotides in length. Lineage: Eukaryota; Metazoa; Chordata; Mammalia; Artiodactyla; Bovidae. RNAcentral also lists the same sequence under 4 other names. The record is from Rfam by way of RNAcentral.